UCAAAGACUGGGAACGGGAAGAGUAGGCGGUAAGCCCUUCAGAGAGCGGAAUUGCAAGUGCUGUGAAAUUCCGCAGGAUCCAGCCCCCGAAGUCGCCCCGGAGUCGCCCCUCUGAGCUUGUCUUUCAUUCUGUGGAAUCCAGGUUAGGAAGUGGCCGGUAGCAGCCGUUAUCUGUACGAGGUGUCGCACUGGGUUUCUGGCCUACUUUUGGGUCAAGAAGCGGAGUUUUAUUUUUCCAUUGGUGCGAAACAAAGGUGGUACCGCGAAAGAAUGGCCUUUCGUCCUUUGA
Molecule: non-coding RNA, 289 nt
Filed under: Bacillus sp. (in: firmicutes)
Lineage: Bacteria; Bacillati; Bacillota; Bacilli; Caryophanales; Bacillaceae
Description: Bacillus sp. T-box sequence
Rfam family: T-box leader
About the family: Uncharged tRNA acts as the effector for transcription antitermination of genes in the T-box leader family. T-boxes are found upstream of many aminoacyl-tRNA synthetase genes and some amino acid biosynthetic genes usually in Gram-positive bacteria.
Source: RNAcentral